CCUUGUCCAAUUGACACUGUCCCACCAACCUCAGCUUUGACCCUCUGUUUCCUGUGCAGAAUAAAACAUACUGCUGGCUGUAGUAGUGUUCCUUGUCUUGAUUGGGAAAGGUCCCUACGUGGUGUCCCAAUUCCAGGCCUUUGGUCUCUUUGCUGGUAGAGUGAGGCUAUAUUUUUGGACUGUCUUUGAGGUGAUUGAAAGAGCUGUCCUUCCUGACAGCUCUUUGGUGAUCUGGUGGCAUAGGUACACGUGUCGUGGUGUUAGAUCUUGCACGUGGGUGCACCUAACCCUACUAACAGGACUGAGUAAGAAGUAAGGGAUGUCUGUUUUGGAAAAGGGCAGGGGGUUCAAAGUUGGAAUGUUCUUGGUGGGGUAGACAGGUAAGUCGGGAAGGGUGUUGGUGAGGGAUGGAGGAUUCCUUGGUCAUGGGAGGUUCCCUUACCUGUUCAUUUCCAGACCUUUUCACGUCUGUGACUCCUUUCCCCUUCUUUCAAGGAAGUAGGAUUUUUGUGAAGGAAGGGUGACCGCCCUGUAAUCGGGGUUCGGGUCGCUUUCCUUUCCCCCUCUUUGCAUUGGCCCUCUUCAUGCCAAAGUGAGCUCCCUGUAACUAGGGUGUGCAACUUUCCCAAGCUUACUCGCCCAUUUGAAAGCUAGUUAUAGAAAGCAGCCUCUUUGGAGAGUUAGGGGUUUGUCCUUCUAGCUCUCCUGUCGCCGUGCCCUACUCACACGCACAACCAAGUCCAAACCGAGCGAACUCUGCAUCCUGCUGGCCCUGACUGCUGCUGCUGCUGCAAGGUUUCCUGCUCUAUGCCACAGUAACUCAGAAGAGAAAACGGAGAAGAGGACAGAAGUACCAAAGAAACGGCAGGAAAAGACAAUGGAAGCAGAAGCCACAGAAAAGGGACACACACCUUGCACGCAUGGGCCUCCCUGCAAUGAGGACACGGGAUUUCCACUUAAGCUUCAUUCCCCCUUGAGGUGCCAGGUAAAAGGACCUCCCUGUAAACGGGGAUCAAGGUCCACCC
Chelonia mydas (Green sea turtle) is the source of this 1025-nucleotide long non-coding RNA. RefSeq lists it as uncharacterized. The transcript has 2 exons. Lineage: Eukaryota; Metazoa; Chordata; Testudines; Cheloniidae. The record is from RefSeq and is a predicted model, not a curated record.